GAUGAACGCUGGCGGCGUGCCCCAAACAUGCAAGUCGAGCGGGGCUAUGUAAUAUCGCAAGGUAGAACAUAGCCUAGCGGCGAACGGGUGAGUAACACGUGGGUAACCUGCCUGGAAGACAGGGAUAACGAUUCGAAAGGGUCGCUAAUACCUGAUAAUAUCCUUUCAUCGCAUGGUGAUAGGAAGAAAGGGGAAACCCGCUUUCAGAUGGGCCCGCGUCCCAUCAGCUAGUUGGUAAGGUAAAGGCUUACCAAGGCGACGACGGGUAGCCGGUCUGAGAGGAUGUACGGCCACACUGGGACUGAGAUACGGCCCAGACUCCUACGGGAGGCAGCAGUUGGGAAUCUUAGGCAAUGGACGAAAGUCUGACCUAGCGACGCCGCGUGAGGGAAGAAGGCCUUCGGGUUGUAAACCUCUGUCAUGGGGAAGAAGUAAGUGACGGUACCCAACGAGGAAGCCCCUGCUAACUACGUG
This 474-nucleotide ribosomal RNA is filed under the name uncultured bacterium. Its description in RNAcentral is "bacterial SSU rRNA". It matches the Rfam family "Bacterial small subunit ribosomal RNA", at positions 28 to 507 of the family's 1533-position model. The record is from RNAcentral.